This 786-nucleotide ribosomal RNA is filed under the name Arthrobacter sp. AA25. RNAcentral describes it as "bacterial SSU rRNA". It matches the Rfam family "Bacterial small subunit ribosomal RNA", at positions 36 to 841 of the family's 1533-position model. Lineage: Bacteria; Bacillati; Actinomycetota; Actinomycetes; Micrococcales; Micrococcaceae. The record is from RNAcentral.
CUGGCGGCGUGCUUACACAUGCAAGUCGAACGAUGAUCCCAGCUUGCUGGGGGAUUAGUGGCGAACGGGUGAGUAACACGUGAGUAACCUGCCCUUGACUCUGGGAUAAGCCUGGGAAACUGGGUCUAAUACCGGAUACGACCAUCUGGCGCAUGUCAUGGUGGUGGAAAGCUUUUGUGGUUUUGGAUGGACUCGCGGCCUAUCAGCUUGUUGGUGGGGUAAUGGCCUACCAAGGCGACGACGGGUAGCCGGCCUGAGAGGGUGACCGGCCACACUGGGACUGAGACACGGCCCAGACUCCUACGGGAGGCAGCAGUGGGGAAUAUUGCACAAUGGGCGCAAGCCUGAUGCAGCGACGCCGCGUGAGGGAUGACGGCCUUCGGGUUGUAAACCUCUUUCAGUAGGGAAGAAGCGAAAGUGACGGUACCUGCAGAAGAAGCGCCGGCUAACUACGUGCCAGCAGCCGCGGUAAUACGUAGGGCGCAAGCGUUAUCCGGAAUUAUUGGGCGUAAAGAGCUCGUAGGCGGUUUGUCGCGUCUGCUGUGAAAGACCGGGGCUCAACUCCGGUUCUGCAGUGGGUACGGGCAGACUAGAGUGCAGUAGGGGAGACUGGAAUUCCUGGUGUAGCGGUGAAAUGCGCAGAUAUCAGGAGGAACACCGAUGGCGAAGGCAGGUCUCUGGGCUGUAACUGACGCUGAGGAGCGAAAGCAUGGGGAGCGAACAGGAUUAGAUACCCUGGUAGUCCAUGCCGUAAACGUUGGGCACUAGGUGUGGGGGACAUUCCAC